Molecule: long non-coding RNA, 1159 nt
Filed under: Marmota monax (woodchuck)
Lineage: Eukaryota; Metazoa; Chordata; Mammalia; Rodentia; Sciuridae
Source: RNAcentral
GGUUAACAGCCAGAGUGAUAUGUAGAAUCAAGAACAGAUCUUUUUAGAAAGAUAUUGAUUUGUGGUUAUGUCUAUGGAGAUUCUGAAAUCAUCAUAAUAAUUAAGAAAUAUGUUUGUGAUCAUAUAUUUUAGAACCAUAUAGCCAAGCAUUUCAUGGAGAAGAUGAGAUUAAAUCAUAGAAAAAUGUAUUCCCUAUAUAUUUCUAUGUCUCGACCCUGACACGUGCAGACAAGACAAACUGGAUUUAAACAGGCCGGCUACAACGUUAAGCUAAGUAGAAGGCAGCGAAAAAUCACACAACACAGAAAUAAUUCUGGAAUUGAGGGCAGGAUGUUUCUUUGGCCUUAAGGGUCAAACUUCCACAUUGGAAAAAGAGAGAGCCUGAGCCAAAGUUUGGUUUAUUUUAUAAUGGGACAUCAAAGGCAGAGAUAAGGUUUCAAGGGCGAUAUCUUGCUUCCUGAUGUCUCCUGGUCAUCAGGAGAUUGACUGACAUCUUGGCAGUUCACACCCAUCUCAGGUGCUGUGUGGGAUCUUAGGCAGAGCUUGAAGAGGAGGCUCACCCGCAUCAUGUGAUCAAUCCCUGACAGGUAGUUCCCAGUGCCAGACCUAUCCCCUCAUUUGGCUACUAUGUUCAACAGUCCACACUCACAGCCUGUGGAUGGCUGGUGACACUAUGUAUGUUUGUGAUUUUAAAACCAUGAGUGGAAAAAAGCAGAAUUUAUGAAAUCCUCACUUAAUGCAAUAUUUUCCAUUUAUUGGUAACCGUUUUUAUCACACUACUGAACACCUGGUAGACCGAUUUAUUUUUUUCAAGUAUAUUGCAUCAUGAUUUACAUUCUAUCAUUUUGCUUCUAUUUUAAAAAAUAAUGAGGUUGAAGCUGUGUUUUACAUUGUAAUAAUGUAGCAAGAAUUGAUUUAGAUAACCCUUCUGCAUCACUUUAAUGUAAAGUAGACCAUGGGUUUAUUAUUGCCUAAUUUUUAAAACUGAAAGUUCUGAAGACAUUUAAUUUGCUGCUGGUUCAGGACUGCUCAUUGGAACCUAUUGCUAUUGCUUCUCAGGGAUUAGUGUAAGUUGUCCAAAACUGCACAGUAAUAAUGCACAUAAUAUUCUCCAGAGUUGCUGUGACCAGCAAAGGCUGCCACUUGUGGGAAGCUUUAC